This 66-nucleotide transfer RNA is filed under the name Neomegalotomus parvus. RNAcentral describes it as "tRNA-Glu". It matches the Rfam family "tRNA". Rfam says of the family: Transfer RNA (tRNA) molecules are approximately 80 nucleotides in length. Their secondary structure includes four short double-helical elements and three loops (D, anti-codon, and T loops). Lineage: Eukaryota; Metazoa; Arthropoda; Insecta; Hemiptera; Alydidae. The record is from RNAcentral.
AUUUAUAUAGUUUAACUUAAAACAAUUCAUUUUCAAUGAAUAAAUGAAUUUUAUAUUCUAUAAAUA